This 737-nucleotide long non-coding RNA is filed under the name Equus caballus (horse). Its description in RNAcentral is "lncRNA (ENSECAG00000053053.1)". Lineage: Eukaryota; Metazoa; Chordata; Mammalia; Perissodactyla; Equidae. The record is from RNAcentral.
UUUUGAGUUAAAACAUCCCCUUAUCCCUGGGUGCAUCAUUCCUGACAUGUAGCAUUGUUAAUGAGAGUGUGAAUACCUUCAGACUUGUCACGCGACCUCUGAAAGUUGAUGGAGGUCAUUAGAGCACUGGUGAGCCAUCUUUAUUUCUGUGAAGACAUGGAAUUCCACGAAGACAGAACCCAGACAUUAAAUGCUAUGUUCCUCCUUUUCUACUCUUUUGCAGGCUGCCAGCCGAUAUGUUUUAGUGACUCCUGCUAAUUUGACAGCGUUCACUGGAGACCUGGGGCACAGCAUCAAUAUGUUAUCUAAGCCAAAAUCCCGUCAGAAGGAUCAGUACUAUCUUCUCCACGUGAACUCUCACCGUGUGCUCACACUCGACAUGGGUCGGGAAAAAUUCCAAGAAGUCAGGGGAGCCGAGGGCAUACGAAAUGGAGAGAAUCCUGAAGGAAACCUCUUCUAACAUCAUCAGAUUAGAAAAAACUGGGGCCAGUGGGGAGAUGAGCUACCAGAGGCCACAUAACAAGUGAAGGGUCAAAGUGAGAGCAGAAAUCCUCUUCUUCUAACUCGGGAUUCAAGGAAUUUCCAGCCACUUUGCAAAAGCAGAGCGAAGCAGGUCUCAGAGCUUAGUGACCGUUCCAAAGUGGCAGCCCUGUCCUCCUGGUCUCCCACUCCUUGCCAGGCCAGCGGGGGCUUCAAGUAGAUUUGCUUCCAGGAGAAAAGCCCCACGCCCGAGUCCA